CCCCGCUACUGAGCACGCGCAACGUCCCUACAGAUGCAGCCAAUCAGAAUCCGCCCUGUACUAGGCCAGCAGCUUGCGUGCGGUUGUGCCGUGUGAAGCCCGAGUGAGUGACAGGGUUUGAGUUCAGAGCCUCCGCCUCCUUGGCCCAGAACCUCCCUACAGCUGGGGUGCCUCAGCUUCCUGGUGGUCUCGCCUGCUGGGAUCCAGUCCUACCUGCUGUGCCCAUGCACUGCUGGGAGAUCGGGAUCUGGAGCUUGGAGUUACCUGCUGUGGGAGCUGUUUCUCAAGCUUUAACAUACGUAUGAGUCAAUCUGAGUGAAACCUAAGAUUCGUCUGCAUUUUCAAAAAGCUCUGGGUAACGUUGAUGCAUUUUAUCCAUGGACCACACUUUGAGUAUCAAACACCAAGUAGCCAACAGGUUCCAACUUUCUGCAGAGAGUGUGAUGGAAGUGGUAUGUAGAGAGAGGAGAGGCAGAGAGAAAGAGAGAGAGGUCUUCUAUCCGCUGGUUCAUUCCCCAUUGGCUGCGCCAAUCCGAAGCCAGGAGCCAGGAGCUUCUUCCAGGUCUUCCACGCAGGGGCAGAGGUCCAAGCACUUGGGCCAUCUCUUACUGCUAUCCCAGGCCAUAGCAGAGAGCUGA
This 638-nucleotide long non-coding RNA is filed under the name Oryctolagus cuniculus (rabbit). RNAcentral describes it as "lncRNA (ENSOCUG00000033349.1)". Lineage: Eukaryota; Metazoa; Chordata; Mammalia; Lagomorpha; Leporidae. The record is from RNAcentral.